GACGUAGGGUGCGAGCGUUGUCCGGAUUUAUUGGGCGUAAAGAGCUCGUAGGCGGCUUGUCGCGUCGACUGUGAAAGCCCGCGGCUCAACCGCGGGUCUGCAGUCGAUACGGGCAGGCUAGAGUUCGGUAGGGGAGACUGGAAUUCCUGGUGUAGCGGUGAAAUGCGCAGAUAUCAGGAGGAACACCGAUGGCGAAGGCAGGUCUCUGGGCCGAUACUGACGCUGAGGAGCGAAAGCGUGGGGAGCGAACAGG
Molecule: ribosomal RNA, 253 nt
Filed under: uncultured bacterium
Lineage: Bacteria
Description: partial 16S ribosomal RNA
Rfam family: Bacterial small subunit ribosomal RNA
Source: RNAcentral